RNAcentral lists this transfer RNA (65 nucleotides) under Brunia dorsalis. Its description in RNAcentral is "tRNA-Arg". Lineage: Eukaryota; Metazoa; Arthropoda; Insecta; Lepidoptera; Erebidae. The record is from RNAcentral.
AAAUAUGAAGCAAUUUUGCAUUUAAUUUCGACUUAAAAGAAUGAGCUUAAUAAGCUCCUUAUUUA